Molecule: ribosomal RNA, 253 nt
Filed under: uncultured bacterium
Lineage: Bacteria
Description: partial 16S ribosomal RNA
Rfam family: Bacterial small subunit ribosomal RNA
Source: RNAcentral
UACGUAGGGGGCUAGUGUUGUCCGGAAUCAUUGGGCGUAAAGCGCGUGUAGGCGGUUCGGUAAGUCCGCUGUGAAAGUCGGGGGCUCAACCCUCGGAUGCCGGUGGAUACUGUCGGACUAGAGUACGGAAGAGGCGAGUGGAAUUCCUGGUGUAGCGGUGAAAUGCGCAGAUAUCAGGAGGAACACCGAUUGCGAAGGCAGCUCGCUGGGACGUUACUGACGCUGAGACGCGAAAGCGUGGGGAGCGAACAGG